This is a long non-coding RNA of Bos taurus (domestic cattle), 1260 nucleotides long. The record is from Ensembl. NCBI's taxonomy places the organism in Eukaryota, Metazoa, Chordata, Mammalia, Artiodactyla, Bovidae.
UUUCUAGGAGGAAUCUGAGGCACAGAGAGGGUGUGUCUUGUAACUAAUAUCUUCCAGCAAUGGACAGGUAUUUGGGAUUCAAUGUCGGGUUGCCUGUUUCAGGACUGGGGGAGUCUGGUCUCUGUAAUCCUCUUUCCCUUCCAUCACAGCUUCGGGAACUCCUAGUCCACCCUCUGUCCCUACCCUGACUCCUUAAGAGCCCUACUCAUACACUGCGCUCCAUGCUCAAUGAUCACGACUAUCCACUGGGAAGAAAUGCUGAUGGCUUUCCUGUGAAUGAUCCCAUUAUCUACCUGGUAAUGCUCCAUUCCCACCACCUCUCUGCCACAGCAUUGCACUGGAUUUAGGGCAGCCAAGAGUGGAGGAGACUUGUAUGAUGCUGGAUAUCACUUAUGUGCAAUUUAAAAACAAUACAAAUGAAUGCACAUGCAAAAUAGAAAACAAACUCAUAGAUUUAGGGGCUUCACUGGUGGCUCACUGAUGGAAGAACCUGCCUGCCGAUGCAGGAGAUGCGGGUUCAAUCCCUGUGUCAGGAUGAUGAUCUGGAGGAGGAAAUGGCAACCCACUCUAAUAGUCUUGCCUGGAGAAUCUCAUGGACAGGGAAGCCUGGCAGGUUACAGUCCAUGGGAUCGCAAAGAGUCGGAUACAACUUAGCAACUACACAGUAAUAUGUCUUCAGAACAUUGGUAACGAUCUUUGGAGUUCUCAGCAGCUGCGCUAACAAGAGUCUAGAAGAGCAAAACUUUGAUUAAAAACACUAUUUGGUCCUCCAUAUCACUGAAACAUUGAAAUCAAAAAGAGUACCUCACUAUCCAUUGGCUACUUUGGCAUCUAAAUAGUUCUAUUACAUGAAGGGCUAUUAGAUUGUUUUUCUUCUUUCAUCAUAUUUUGUUUUAUUGCUGCAAUAGCUAUUGGGAGUGAGCAGAUUGUUAAGAACAUUAAGGAAGAUGCUUUUCAGUUGGUUAGCCAUGCUAAGGUUUUAAUGGCUCAAGGGUUAAGAAUCUGCCUGCCAAUGCAGGUGACUCAGGUUUGAUCCCUGAGUUAGGAAGAUCCCCUGGAGAAGGAAAUGGCAACCUCCUCCAGUAUUCUUGCCUGGGAAAUCCCACAAACAGAGGAACCCGUUGGGCUACAGUCCAUGAGGUCGAAAAAGAGUCGGAUAGGAUUUAGCAACUGCUGCUAAGUUGCUUCAGUCGUGUCCGACUCUGUGCGACCCCAUAGAUGGAAGCCCACCAGUCUCCCCCGUCCCUGGGAUUCUCCAGG